Molecule: non-coding RNA, 283 nt
Organism: Pimephales promelas (fathead minnow)
Lineage: Eukaryota; Metazoa; Chordata; Actinopteri; Cypriniformes; Leuciscidae
Source: RefSeq, a predicted model, not a curated record
UUCUUGGCAAAAUGUAGAAAAAAACCCUCACAUAUAUGACCUUCUAAAGAAGAAUCUAGCACAAGAUGCCAGAAUAUCACAAAUCUUUACAGAAGAGUUUGAAAGACAGAGAAGAAUAGGGUUUCCAUCCCUCAGUUUGGAGAUAAACGGCGGCCCUCCUGUGGCUCACCGUGAUAAUAAAGGACGGUCGAAGAGACUGAAUGCUAGGUGUAGUCAGUCAGCUGUCGGCGAGAAAGAAACACCAGCUCCUUUGCCGCACCGUAUAAGACAGAGGGCCAGAACU